This 520-nucleotide unclassified non-coding RNA is filed under the name uncultured Glomus. RNAcentral describes it as "SSU rRNA". It matches the Rfam family "Eukaryotic small subunit ribosomal RNA", at positions 569 to 1090 of the family's 1831-position model. The record is from RNAcentral. Lineage: Eukaryota; Fungi; Glomeromycota; Glomeromycetes; Glomerales; Glomeraceae.
AGCAGCCGCGGUAAUUCCAGCUCCAAUAGCGUAUAUUAAAGUUGUUGCAGUUAAAAAGCUCGUAGUUGAAUUUCGGGAUCAAGUCGUCGGUCGUGCUCAGGUACGUACUGGCGUCAUUGAUUUCUCCCUUCUGACGAACCAUGAUGUCAUUAAUUUGGUGUCAUGGGAAAUCAGGACUGUUACUUUGAAAAAAUUAGAGUGUUUAAAGCAGGCUCACGCUUGAAUACAUUAGCAUGGAAUAAUGAAAUAGGACGUUCGAUCCUAUUUUGUUGGUUUUUAGGAUCAACGUAAUGAUUAAUAGGGAUAGUUGGGGGCAUUAGUAUUCAAUUGUCAGAGGUGAAAUUCUUGGAUUUAUUGAAGACUAACUACUGCGAAAGCAUUUGCCAAGGAUGUUUUCAUUAAUCAAGAACGAAAGUUAGGGGAUCGAAGACGAUCAGAUACCGUCGUAGUCUUAACCAUAAACUAUGCCGACUAGGGAUCGGAUGAUGUUAAUUUUUUUAAUGACUCAUUCGGCGCCUUA